GCCUGCCCAGUGAUACACCAUUCAACGGCCGCGGUAUCCUAACCGUGCAAAGGUAGCGCAAUCACUUGUUCUUUAAAUAAGGACUAGUAUGAACGGCACCAUGAGGAUCGCCUUGUCUCUCAUAGUAAGUCCAUGAAACUGAUCCCCCAGUACAAAAGCUGGAAUACCCCCACAAGACGAGAAGACCCUGUGGAGCUUUAAACUACACACCACACAUAUUGGUACUAGUAGUUUUUAGUUGGGGCGACUUUGGAGCAAAACAAAACCUCCAAAAUUUAACCCAAACCCAGACGGACACGUCUGAGCCAAUCGACCACCGACCCAAUACAAUUGAUCAAUGAACCAAGUUACCCCAGGGAUAACAGCGCAAUCUUCUUCUAGAGUCCCUAUCGACAAGAAGGUUUACGACCUCGAUGUUGGAUCCGGAUACCCCAAUAGUGCAGCCGCUAUUAAUGGUUCGUUUGUUCAACGAUUAAUAAUCCCACGUGAUCUGAGUUCAGACCGG
Molecule: ribosomal RNA, 505 nt
Filed under: Amphisbaena mertensii
Lineage: Eukaryota; Metazoa; Chordata; Lepidosauria; Squamata; Amphisbaenidae
Description: partial 16S ribosomal RNA
Rfam family: Bacterial large subunit ribosomal RNA
Source: RNAcentral